CUCCGAUUCAUAUUUCGUCGACCAAUCCUUCCUAAUUCACAUUUUUGUUGAAAAAAUUUCUUUUGUAAUUCCUCGCAUAAGGACUCCGAAAAUACCAGGUCCCCACCUACACAAGAAAAUUGUUGAUAAACCUCCAAAAUAGCUUAAUUCUUAUCUUUAGUCCAUUCUGAGCCAUUUACGAACAUUACAGCGAAUAUGAUCAAGACAUUUAUGGCUCCCACAUAAAUAAGAAGUUGUGAAGAAGAAAGAAGUAAUAGGUAGGGAUGACAGGAUUUGAACAUGUGACAUUUUGUACCCAAAACAAACGCGCUACCAAGCUGCGCAGUCGCAUUCAAGUAAUGCCCCUUGAUUUCACCGGUUUCGGCCUGUGAUUUAUAAAUAGCUUCGGCACAAAAGACAAAACGGUCUCUCCAGCGCAUAAAUGGUUGUGAAAAUAUUCAUCUUGACAAGAAAUUAUCUAUAUGUUAAGAUAUCUCUGAUAAGGGCUAUAGCUCAGUUCGGUAGAGCAACUCGUUAGUUUUUUUAUACUAAUUAAAACUUGCUAUCUAUGGAGCAAUAUGGAUAAAAGAAAGUAAGUAUUUAUCCGGGAAGCCUCCGCCAAGAUCCAAUUUAUUUAAACCCAUAUUAAAAUUCUAUCAUAUGAAUGAAACAUAGUUUGAAAAAGACGACUAAACAAGUUUGCUUAAAACUUAUUUAUUCUUAAAUUUCCACCCUCAACGGAUGGCUCGGAGAGAUGGCCGAGUGGUUCAAGGCGUAGCAUUGGAACUGCUAUGUAGACUUUUGUUUACCGAGGGUUCGAAUCCCUCUCUUUCCGUUUUUCUUAAUUCAUCAACGUUAAGGACCACAAUGUAUCAAAUCAAUUUGCCUCUGACCAUCAAAUUAAAUGUGAAUAAACCCGUCCUCCUCUCUUUGAAACAAGGGGCGCUUCCGGUUCUGUGCGUGCUUCAAACAAUUUUGUCUUCUCCAUAGCAACGACUGGAGUGGGGGAGUCAGAGUCUAAAAGAGGAUUCCUCGCUUCUUUCUCUCAUGCAAAACCGUGCAACCUUUUGGGGCUUCUACUCUUACAUAAAGCUCUUGUCUUGACAAUUCAAAAUUGGGCGAAGGUUUUUUACCAAGAAAUUUAUACUCAAAAUCAUUCCCUUCCUAGAAUGGGGUAUUAUCUGUCCCGAUAAAUAGAUAAUUCCAGGAGUAAUAAAUAGGAGUAAAUUAAAUAAAGUAUUGAUAUAAUUGGAAUUGCGGAAGCAAAUACCAAUUUACUAAAAAAAGUUACCACUUAGCAGGUUUCCAUACCAAGGCUCAAUACAAUCAAGUCCGUAGCGUCUACCGAUUUCGCCAUAUCCCCAUUUCCCUCUUCUUUGAGACCAGGAUUCCUUGUGUAAUUUCAUCCAUCUCUUAGUUUUUUUUUUGAAUCAUUGAGUUCAUCACUCAACGUAGUCUAGCAGUUCAGUUCGACUCUAUUUGAGAGACCUCGCUUGCUUAUUGCAAUUCAGAAUUGAAUUGAUUCUAUCCUUGAGUGGAACACAUUAGCCGUCCGCUCUCCGGUUGGGCAGUAAGGGUCGGAGAAGGGCAAUCACUCGUUCUUAAAACCAGCAUUCUUAAGAUCAAAGAGUCGGGCGGAAAAAGGGGAGAGCUCCCCGUUCCUGGUUCUCCUGUAACUGGAUUCCCCGGAACCACAAGAAUCCUUAGAAUGGGAUUCCAACUCAGCACCUUUUGCCCCCGCCACGAGCGAACGGGAAUGGAUAAGAGGCUUGUGGGAUUGACGUGAUAGGGUAGGGUUGGCUAUACUGCUGGUGGCGAACUCCAGGCUAAUAAUCUGAAGCGCAUGGAUACAAGUUAUCCUUAUCAUUUAAUAUCCAUCCCUUUGGUCUUAUUGACAUAAGAGAUGUCAUUUAUAGUCUAUCUCUUUCUAUAUAUGGAAAGUCAAGAAAUUCUCGUUUGUAUAACUAUUGUUUUUUCGCUAAUGACUACUAUCCCAGAUACGUCGUGGUAUGGAAUUCUUUGGACUACAAGAUCAAACCAAAUAGUAGAACAGGGUCUCAUAAAUAAUGUUCAACAAAUUGGAAUUCAUUUAGCAACCGAUUUUUAUCUUCCGUUUGAACUCAUUUCCAUAAUUCUUCUAGUUUCUUUAAUAGGUGCAAUUACUAUGGCUCGGCAAUAAGAAAACUUAGAAAAAGUACAAAUUAUAAGAAUUGCAAAUCUAAAAUAAAUAACUAAAGAAUCACAAUUUUGAUUUAGUAAAAUCCUCUUUUUAAAGAAGUUUUAAAAUAUAUCUUUUCUUUAUGAUAAAGAAGGGGGUGAGAUUCCCCUUUAUUUUUUUGCGUUUCUUAAUUUUGUAUUCGGUCCGAACCGACUGAUGUUGAAGAAUCAGCGGAUGAGUUGUGGUUAGGGGUGAAAUGCCACUCGAACCCAGAGCUAGCUGGUUCUCCCCGAAAUGCGUUGAGGCGCAGCAGUUGACUGGACAUCUAGGGGUAAAGCACUGUUUCGGUGCGGGCUGCGCGAGCGGGCACCAAAUUCAUGUAUCUUUACCAAUUAACCAAUUUCUUGACGCUGGGGUGGAUCCUAAAGAGAUACCACUUCCUCAUGAAUUUAUCUUGAAUCGGGACCUUUUGGCUCAACUUUAUCCUAGUUUUGCCGAAGGAGCGCCAGGUUGUCUCUUGCCUGCUCAUGGAUUCAGCAGGCAGUUUAAAAGGUUGACCUAUUUGGGAAUCUCCGGAUCUAUGCUUAUUUUCAACUCCCCGAAGCAUUUCGUCGCUUGCUACGCCCUUCCUCGG
This 2771-nucleotide long non-coding RNA is filed under the name Triticum aestivum (bread wheat). Its description in RNAcentral is "long non-coding RNA (TAES_LNC013679)". The stretch from base 728 to 814 matches the Rfam family "tRNA". Lineage: Eukaryota; Viridiplantae; Streptophyta; Magnoliopsida; Poales; Poaceae. The record is from RNAcentral.